Molecule: long non-coding RNA, 413 nt
Organism: Rhipicephalus microplus (southern cattle tick)
Lineage: Eukaryota; Metazoa; Arthropoda; Arachnida; Ixodida; Ixodidae
Source: RefSeq, a predicted model, not a curated record
GUUCAUCUCGGCUGACCGGAACGAGCAGGACAUGCUCAACUACAUGCGCGCCUCCCACGGCGACUGGUACGCUCUGCCUUUCGACGAUCCGCUCCACGGCGAACUUACAGAGCGCUUCAAGGUCGCCGGCGUUCCCACGCUGCUGGUGAUGACACCCGAUGGCACCGUCGUCUGCCCCAACGGCAAGAAGAUGGUCCAGGAGCGCGGAGUGCAGGCGUUUCGCGAUUGGCUCAGCCACUAAGACGUCAUCGGACGUGCUCUUAGAUGUGACGCCCUCCGUGAAGCCCGUUACUAUGUCGAACGCUAUUUGCUUAUUUGCUUAUUGUGGAGCAAUAUGCAACAUUGCCUCAAUUAAGGGCAAAACGUCAACCACAUGUUAUUCAGAUAUAAUAAACGUGCUUAUUUGAUAGUUA